Molecule: ribosomal RNA, 253 nt
Filed under: uncultured bacterium
Lineage: Bacteria
Description: partial 16S ribosomal RNA
Rfam family: Bacterial small subunit ribosomal RNA
Source: RNAcentral
UACGUAGGUGGCAAGCGUUGUCCGGAUUUAUUGGGUUUAAAGGGUGCGUAGGCGGCUUAUUAAGUCAGUGGUGAAAUACUCUAGCUCAACUAGAGGGGUGCCAUUGAUACUGAUGAGCUUGAGUACAGAUGAGGUAGGCGGAAUUGACGGUGUAGCGGUGAAAUGCUUAGAUAUCGUCAAGAACACCUAUAGCGAAGGCAGCUUACUAGGCCGAUACUGACGCUGAGGAGCGAAAGCGUGGGGAGCGAACAGG